AGCGAACGCUGGCGGCAGGCCUAACACAUGCAAGUCGAACGAACCUUUCGGGGUUAGUGGCGGACGGGUGCGUAACACGUGGGAACGUGCCCUUAGGUUCGGAAUAACUGAGGGAAACUUGUGCUAAUACCGAAUGUGCCCUUCGGGGGAAAGAUUUAUCGCUUCUAGAGCGGCCCGCGUCUGAUUAGCUAGUUGGGUGAGGUAAUGGCUCACCAAGGCGACGAGCAGUAGCUGGUCUGAGCGGAUGAUCCGCCACAUUGGGACUGAGACACGGCCCACACUCCUACGGAAGGCAGCAGUGGGGAAUCUUGUGGAAUGGGCGAAAGCCUGACACAGCCAUGCCGCGUGAAAGAUGCAGGUCUUAGGAUUGUAAAAUUGUUUCGGCGGAGGCGAGAAUGACGGUACCCGGAGAAGAAGCCCCGGCUAACUUCGUG
RNAcentral lists this ribosomal RNA (434 nucleotides) under uncultured bacterium. RNAcentral's name for it is "partial 16S ribosomal RNA". It matches the Rfam family "Bacterial small subunit ribosomal RNA", at positions 29 to 507 of the family's 1533-position model. The record is from RNAcentral.